Molecule: transfer RNA, 71 nt
Filed under: Cordylochernes scorpioides
Lineage: Eukaryota; Metazoa; Arthropoda; Arachnida; Pseudoscorpiones; Chernetidae
Description: tRNA-Gly
Source: RNAcentral
UGAAUCGGCCGGGAAUCGAACCCGGGCCGCCCGCGUGGCAGGCGUGCAUACUACCACUGACCCACCGAUGC